This 122-nucleotide ribosomal RNA is filed under the name Entamoeba histolytica. Lineage: Eukaryota; Evosea; Mastigamoebida; Endamoebidae. The record is from RNAcentral.
AAAAAAGGUAGAUUACCUGACGUUCCCAUCUGUGUGAACAUAAUGGUACUGAUCAGGCUCUAAGCAUCUUUACUUCCGUGUUCGGAUGGGAACGGGUGUAUCCUACUUGAUAUGAACCUACC